UACGGAGGGUGCAAGCGUUAAUCGGAAUUACUGGGCGUAAAGCGCACGUAGGCGGACGACUAAGUCGGAUGUGAAAUCCCUGGGCUUAACCUGGGAACUGCAUCCGAUACUGGUCGCCUAGAGUAUGGAAGAGGGAAGCGGAAUUCCAGGUGUAGCGGUGAAAUGCGUAGAUAUCUGGAGGAACAUCAGUGGCGAAGGCGGCUUCCUGGUCCAAUACUGACGCUGAGGUGCGAAAGCGUGGGGAGCAAAC
Molecule: ribosomal RNA, 250 nt
Filed under: uncultured bacterium
Lineage: Bacteria
Description: partial 16S ribosomal RNA
Rfam family: Bacterial small subunit ribosomal RNA
Source: RNAcentral